This 778-nucleotide ribosomal RNA is filed under the name Cladosporium herbarum. Its description in RNAcentral is "LSU rRNA". It matches the Rfam family "Eukaryotic large subunit ribosomal RNA", at positions 99 to 903 of the family's 3401-position model. The record is from RNAcentral. Lineage: Eukaryota; Fungi; Ascomycota; Dothideomycetes; Cladosporiales; Cladosporiaceae.
CAGCAAUAGCUCAAAUUUGAAAUCUGGCGUCUUCGACGUCCGAGUUGUAAUUUGUAGAGGAUGCUUCUGAGUGGCCACCGACCUAAGUUCCUUGGAACAGGACGUCAUAGAGGGUGAGAAUCCCGUAUGCGGUCGGAAAGGCGCUCUAUACGUAGCUCCUUCGACGAGUCGAGUUGUUUGGGAAUGCAGCUCUAAAUGGGAGGUAAAUUUCUUCUAAAGCUAAAUAUUGGCCAGAGACCGAUAGCGCACAAGUAGAGUGAUCGAAAGAUGAAAAGCACUUUGGAAAGAGAGUUAAAAAGCACGUGAAAUUGUUAAAAGGGAAGGGAUUGCAACCAGACUUGCUCGCGGUGUUCCGCCGGUCUUCUGACCGGUCUACUCGCCGCGUUGCAGGCCAGCAUCGUCUGGUGCCGCUGGAUAAGACUUGAGGAAUGUAGCUCCCUCGGGAGUGUUAUAGCCUCUUGUGAUGCAGCGAGCGCCGGGCGAGGUCCGCGCUUCGGCUAGGAUGCUGGCGUAAUGGUCGUAAUCCGCCCGUCUUGAAACACGGACCAAGGAGUCUAACAUCUAUGCGAGUGUUCGGGUGUCAAACCCCUACGCGUAAUGAAAGUGAACGGAGGUGAGAACCGCAAGGUGCAUCAUCGACCGAUCCUGAUGUCUUCGGAUGGAUUUGAGUAAGAGCAUAGCUGUUGGGACCCGAAAGAUGGUGAACUAUGCCUGAAUAGGGUGAAGCCAGAGGAAACUCUGGUGGAGGCUCGCAGCGGUUCUGACGUGCAAAUCGAUC